Molecule: ribosomal RNA, 804 nt
Filed under: Streptomyces canus
Lineage: Bacteria; Bacillati; Actinomycetota; Actinomycetes; Kitasatosporales; Streptomycetaceae
Description: bacterial SSU rRNA
Rfam family: Bacterial small subunit ribosomal RNA
Source: RNAcentral
GUCGRCGAUGAACMCUUCGGUGGGGAUUAGKGGCGAACGGGUGAGUAACACGUGGGCRAUCUGCCCUUCACUCUGGGACAAGCCCUGGAAACGGGGUCUAAUACSGGAUACCACUACCGCAGGCAUCUGUGGUGGUUGAAAGCUCCGGCGGUGAAGGAUGAGCCCGCGGCCUAUCAGCUUGUUGGUGAGGUAAUGGCUCACCAAGGCGACGACGGGUAGCCGGCCUGAGAGGGCGACCGGCCACACUGGGACUGAGACACGGCCCAGACUCCUACGGGAGGCAGCAGUGGGGAAUAUUGCACAAUGGGCGAAAGCCUGAUGCAGCGACGCCGCGUGAGGGAUGACGGCCUUCGGGUUGUAAACCUCUUUCAGCAGGGAAGAAGCGAAAGUGACGGUACCUGCAGAAGAAGCGYYKKYUAACUACGUGCCAGCAGCCGCGGUAAUACGUAGGGCGCAAGCGUUGUCCGGAAUUAUUGGGCGUAUAGACCACCGUACGCGGCUUGUCACGUCGGGUGUGAAAGCCCGGGGCUUAACCCCGGGUCUGCAUUCGAUACGGGCUAGCUAGAGUGUGGUAGGGGAGAUCGGAAUUCCUGGUGUAGCGGUGAAAUGCGCAGAUAUCAGGAGGAACACCGGUGGCGAAGGCGGAUCUCUGGGCCAUUACUGACGCUGAGGAGCGAAAGCGUGGGGAGCGAACAGGAUUAGAUACCCUGGUAGUCCACGCCGUAAACGGUGGGAACUAGGUGUUGGCGACAUUCCACGUCGUCGGUGCCGCAGCUAACGCAUUAAGUUCCCCCGCCUGGGGGA